GAAUCUGGCUCUAGGUCGGGGACAACAGUUGGAAACGACUGCUAAUACCGGAUGUGCCGAAAGGUAAAAGGCUUGCUGCCUAGAGAUGAGCUCGCGUCUGAUUAGCUAGUUGGUGUGGUAAGAGCGCACCAAGGCGACGAUCAGUAGCUGGUCUGAGAGGAUGAUCAGCCACACUGGGACUGAGACACGGCCCAGACUCCUACGGGAGGCAGCAGUGGGGAAUUUUCCGCAAUGGGCGAAAGCCUGACGGAGCAAUACCGCGUGAGGGAGGAAGGCUCUUGGGUUGUAAACCUCUUUUCUCAAGGAAUAAGUUCUGAAGGUACUUGAGGAAUAAGCAUCGGCUAACUCCGUGCCAGCAGCCGCGGUAAUACGGAGGAUGCAAGCGUUAUCCGGAAUGAUUGGGCGUAAAGGGUCCGCAGGUGGCACUGUAAGUCUGCUGUCAAAGAAUGAGGCUCAACCUCAUCAAGGCAGUGGAAACUACAGAGCUAGAGUACGGUCGGGGUAGAAGGAAUUCCUGGUGUAGCGGUGAAAUGCGUAGAGAUCAGGAAGAACACCGGUGGCGAAAGCGUUCUGCUAGGCCUGUACUGACACUGAGGGACGAAAGCUAGGGGAGCG
RNAcentral lists this ribosomal RNA (615 nucleotides) under Trichormus variabilis. Its description in RNAcentral is "bacterial SSU rRNA". It matches the Rfam family "Bacterial small subunit ribosomal RNA", at positions 122 to 770 of the family's 1533-position model. The record is from RNAcentral. Lineage: Bacteria; Bacillati; Cyanobacteriota; Cyanophyceae; Nostocales; Nostocaceae.